Small nucleolar RNA from Ornithorhynchus anatinus (platypus), 138 nucleotides. The record is from RefSeq and is a predicted model, not a curated record. NCBI's taxonomy places the organism in Eukaryota, Metazoa, Chordata, Mammalia, Monotremata, Ornithorhynchidae.
CCCCUCUCAGGGUCGACCCUGGAGAGUUUCCAGUCCUCUACCAGUCUCGGCUACAGGAGGGAGAGUCGAGCAGAGGCCUGUCCAUCCCAUUCCUAGCUUGGCCAGUGGCUAGCGAGCGGCAGACCAUCUGCUACAAGU